AUUUAACGCUGGCGGCAGGCCUAACACAUGCAAGUCGAGCGGCGCACCGGCCGGGUGCGUACUUCCUAUGAAUCUGCCUGGUAGUGGGGGAUCACGUCAGGUAACGGGAGCGCAUGCCGCAUACUUUCACAUUAGCAUAGGUCGGAUUAGCUAGUUGGUGGGGUAAAGGCCUACCAAGGCGACGAUCAGUAACUGGUCUGAGAGGAUGAUCAGUCACACUGGAACUGAGACACGGUCCAGACUCCUACGGGAGGCAGCAGUGAGGAAUAUUGGACAAUGGGCGAAAGCCUGAUCCAGACAUGCCGCGUGUGUGAAGAAGGUCUUCGGAUUGUAAAGCACUUUAAGUUGGGAGGCGUUACCAACAGAAUAAGCACAGGCUAACUUCGUGCCAGCCGCCGCGGUAAUAC
Molecule: ribosomal RNA, 407 nt
Filed under: uncultured bacterium
Lineage: Bacteria
Description: partial 16S ribosomal RNA
Rfam family: Bacterial small subunit ribosomal RNA
Source: RNAcentral